AAUGAAACUUUCUAGGGUUCCGCUACUCAGUAGGUCUGGUCCGAGGGAAAGUGCAGCUUUUUCUAGUGCUGUUCACGGAGGGAAAAAAGCCCGGGAGAU
RNAcentral lists this small RNA (99 nucleotides) under Geomicrobium sp. JCM 19039. Its description in RNAcentral is "Guanidine-I riboswitch aptamer". It matches the Rfam family "Guanidine-I riboswitch aptamer". From Rfam's summary of the family: This family represents a conserved RNA structure found upstream of the ykkC and yxkD genes in Bacillus subtilis and related genes in other bacteria. The function of this family is unclear although it has been suggested that it may function to switch on efflux pumps and detoxification systems in response to harmful environmental molecules. Lineage: Bacteria; Bacillati; Bacillota; Bacilli; Caryophanales. The record is from Rfam by way of RNAcentral. RNAcentral also lists the same sequence under 1 other name.